UAGGGAAUCUUGCGCAAUGGGCGAAAGCCUGACGCAGCCAUGCCGCGUGAAUGAUGAAGGUCUUAGGAUUGUAAAAUUCUUUCACCGGGGAAGAUAAUGACGGUACCCGGAGAAGAAGCCCCGGCUAACUUCGUGCCAGCAGCCGCGGUAAUACGAAGGGGGCUAGCGUUGCUCGGAAUUACUGGGCGUAAAGGGCGCGUAGGCGGAUAUUUAAGUUGGGGGUGAAAGCCCGGGGCUCAACCUCGGAAUAGCCUUCAAUACUGGAUAUCUUGAGUUCGGGAGAGGUGAGUGGAAUGCCGAGUGUAGAGGUGAAAUUCGUAGAUAUUCGGCGGAACACCAGUGGCGAAGGCGACUCACUGGCCCGAUACUGACGCUGAGGCGCGAAAGCGUGGGGAGCAAACAGGAUUAGAUACCCUGGUAGUCCACGCCGUAAACGAUGAGUGCUAGUUGUCGGCGUGCAUGCAUGUCGGUGACGCAGCUAACGCAUUAAGCACUCCGCCUGGGGAGUACGGUCGCAAGAUUAAAACUCAAAUGAAUUGAC
Molecule: ribosomal RNA, 541 nt
Filed under: uncultured bacterium
Lineage: Bacteria
Description: partial 16S ribosomal RNA
Rfam family: Bacterial small subunit ribosomal RNA
Source: RNAcentral